GUUGUAUGGUUAAGUGACUAAGCGUACACGGUGGAUGCCUUGGCAGUCAGAGGCGAUGAAAGACGUAGUAACUUGCGAUAAGCCCAGAUUAGGUAGUAACAACCAUUUGAGUCUGGGAUUUCUGAAUGGGGAAACCCACGUGCAUAAGCACGUAUCCUUACCUGAAUACAUAGGGUAAGGAGGCGAACCGGGGGAACUGAAACAUCUAAGUACCCCGAGGAAAAGAAAUCAACCGAGAUUCCGAAAGUAGCGGCGAGCGAAAUUGGACUAGCCCUUAAGCUUUACACGCGUUAGACGAACGGUCUGGAAAGUCCGACGAUACAGGGUGAUAGUCCCGUAGUUGACGACGUGUGUUCAGUGAAAUCGAGUAGGGCGGGACACGUGAUAUCCUGUCUGAAUAUGGGGGGACCAUCCUCCAAGGCUAAAUACUACUGACUGACCGAUAGUGAACCAGUACCGUGAGGGAAAGGCGAAAAGAACCCCUGUGAGGGGAGUGAAAUAGAACCUGAAACCGUGUACGUACAAGCAGUAGGAGCAGGCUUUGUCCUGUGACUGCGUACCUUUUGUAUAAUGGGUCAGCGACUUAUAUUCAGUGGCAAGGUUAACCAUCUAGGGGAGCCGUAGGGAAACCGAGUCUUAACUGGGCGUUCAGUCUCUGGAUAUAGACCCGAAACCAGGUGAUCUAGCCAUGGGCAGGUUGAAGGUUGAGUAACAUCAACUGGAGGACCGAACCGACUAAUGUUGAAAAAUUAGCGGAUGACUUGUGGCUAGGGGUGAAAGGCCAAUCAAACCUGGAGAUAGCUGGUUCUCCCCGAAAGCUAUUUAGGUAGCGCCUCGGACGAAUACUACUGGGGGUAGAGCACUGUUAAGGCUAGGGGGUCAUCCCGACUUACCAACCCUUUGCAAACUCCGAAUACCAGUAAGUACUAUCCGGGAGACACACGGCGGGUGCUAACGUCCGUCGUGGAGAGGGAAACAACCCAGACCGCCAGCUAAGGUCCCAAAUUACUACUAAGUGGGAAACGAUGUGGGAAGGCUCAGACAGCCAGGAUGUUGGCUUAGAAGCAGCCAUCAUUUAAAGAAAGCGUAAUAGCUCACUGGUCGAGUCGGCCUGCGCGGAAGAUGUAACGGGGCUAAGUAGUAAACCGAAGCUGCGGCAAUAUACUUUUGUAUAUUGGGUAGGGGAGCGUUCUGUAAGCGGUUGAAGGUGUGUGGUAACGCAUGCUGGACGUAUCAGAAGUGCGAAUGCUGACAUGAGUAACGAUAAAGGGGGGGUGAAAAACCUCCUCGCCGGAAGACCAAGGGUUCCUGUCCAACGUUAAUCGGGGCAGGGUAAGUCGACCCCUAAGGCGAGGCCGAAAGGCGUAGUCGAUGGGAAACGGGUUAAUAUUCCCGUACUUCUUACAAUUGCGAUGGGGGGACGGAGAAGGCUAGGUGGGCCUGGCGACGGUUGUCCAGGUUCAAGUGCGUAGGCUUAAGAGUUAGGUAAAUCCGGCUCUUUCUAAGGCUGAGACACGACGUCGAGCACCUACGGGUGUGAAGUCAUUGAUGCCAUGCUUCCAGGAAAAGCCUCUAAGCUUCAGAUUGUAAGGAAUCGUACCCCAAACCGACACAGGUGGUCGGGUAGAGAAUACCAAGGCGCUUGAGAGAACUCGGGUGAAGGAACUAGGCAAAAUGGUACCGUAACUUCGGGAGAAGGUACGCUCUUGAUGGUGAAGUCCCUUGCGGAUGGAGCUGACGAGAGUCGCAGAUACCAGGUGGCUGCAACUGUUUAUUAAAAAACACAGCACUGUGCAAAAUCGUAAGAUGACGUAUACGGUGUGACGCCUGCCCGGUGCCGGAAGGUUAAUUGAUGGGGUUAGACUUCGGUCGAAGCUCUUGAUCGAAGCCCCGGUAAACGGCGGCCGUAACUAUAACGGUCCUAAGGUAGCGAAAUUCCUUGUCGGGUAAGUUCCGACCUGCACGAAUGGCGUAAUGAUGGCCACGCUGUCUCCACCCGAGACUCAGUGAAAUUGAAAUCGCUGUGAAGAUGCAGUGUACCCGCGGCUAGACGGAAAGACCCCGUGAACCUUUACUACAGCUUGGCACUGAACAUUGACCCUACAUGUGUAGGAUAGGUGGGAGGCUUUGAAGCAUGUACGCCAGUAUGUGUGGAGCCGUCCUUGAAAUACCACCCUUGUAGUGUUGAUGUUCUAACGUCGACCCCUUAUCGGGGUUGCGGACAGUGCCUGGUGGGUAGUUUGACUGGGGCGGUCUCCUCCCAAAGAGUAACGGAGGAGCACGAAGGUGGGCUAAUCACGGUUGGACAUCGUGAGGUUAGUGCAAUGGCAUAAGCCCGCUUGACUGCGAGAAUGACAAUUCGAGCAGGUGCGAAAGCAGGUCAUAGUGAUCCGGUGGUUCUGAAUGGAAGGGCCAUCGCUCAACGGAUAAAAGGUACUCCGGGGAUAACAGGCUGAUACCGCCCAAGAGUUCAUAUCGACGGCGGUGUUUGGCACCUCGAUGUCGGCUCAUCACAUCCUGGGGCUGAAGUCGGUCCCAAGGGUAUGGCUGUUCGCCAUUUAAAGUGGUACGCGAGCUGGGUUUAGAACGUCGUGAGACAGUUCGGUCCCUAUCUGCCGUGGGCGUUGGAAGAUUGAAGGGGGCUGCUCCUAGUACGAGAGGACCGGAGUGGACGAACCUCUGGUGUUCGGGUUGUGUCGCCAGACGCAUUGCCCGGUAGCUAAGUUCGGAAUCGAUAACCGCUGAAAGCAUCUAAGCGGGAAGCGAGCCCUGAGAUGAGUCUUCCCUGAUACUUUAAGUAUCCUAAAGGGUUGUCGGAGACUACGACGUUGAUAGGUCAGGUGUGUAAGUGCUGUGAGGCAUUGAGCUAACUGAUACUAAUUGCCCGUGAGGCUUAACCAUACAACACCCAAGGGGUUU
This 2919-nucleotide ribosomal RNA is filed under the name Vibrio parahaemolyticus. Its description in RNAcentral is "23S ribosomal RNA". It matches the Rfam family "Bacterial large subunit ribosomal RNA". The record is from RNAcentral. Lineage: Bacteria; Pseudomonadati; Pseudomonadota; Gammaproteobacteria; Vibrionales; Vibrionaceae.